AGCCCUAUUUCUCUGUAUAAGAAAGGAAAAAAUAAAAAAAAUAUGAGCUACACUAGUCCAGUAAGUAGAACUUGUACUUUCUUAUCGGAUCUAGCAUACAUUUUUCAUGAUAAUGUAAUAUUUAAAAAAUAAUAGAUAAUAUAAAAUAAAAUAUUUCAUAGAGCAUAUAAUAAAAUAAGUCAUAAAUCAAUCAUGCACGUAUAAAAU
This 207-nucleotide long non-coding RNA is filed under the name Elaeis guineensis (African oil palm). RNAcentral's name for it is "long non-coding RNA (EGUI_LNC048307)". Lineage: Eukaryota; Viridiplantae; Streptophyta; Magnoliopsida; Arecales; Arecaceae. The record is from RNAcentral.